Molecule: ribosomal RNA, 1320 nt
Filed under: uncultured prokaryote
Description: partial 16S ribosomal RNA
Rfam family: Bacterial small subunit ribosomal RNA
Source: RNAcentral
AGAGUUUGAUCCUGGCUCAGAACGAACGCUGGCGGCAGGCUUAACACAUGCAAGUCGAGCGCACUCUUCGGAGUGAGCGACGGACGGGUUAGUAACGCGUGGGAACGUGCCCUUCUCUAAGGAAUAGCCACUGGAAACGGUGAGUAAUACCUUAUACGCCCUUCGGGGGAAAGAUUUAUCGGUGAAGGAUCGGCCCGCGUUAGAUUAGGUAGUUGGUGGGGUAAUGGCCUACCAAGCCUACGAUCUAUAGCUGGUUUUAGAGGAUGAUCAGCAACACUGGGACUGAGACACGGCCCAGACUCCUACGGGAGGCAGCAGUGGGGAAUCUUGGACAAUGGGGGCAACCCUGAUCCAGCCAUGCCGCGUGAGUGAAGAAGGCCCUAGGGUCGUAAAGCUCUUUCGCCAGGGAUGAUAAUGACAGUACCUGGUAAAGAAACCCCGGCUAACUCCGUGCCAGCAGCCGCGGUAAUACGGAGGGGGUUAGCGUUGUUCGGAAUUACUGGGCGUAAAGCGUACGUAGGCGGAUUGGAAAGUUGGGGGUGAAAUCCCAGGGCUCAACCCUGGAACUGCCUCCAAAACUAUCAGUCUAGAGUUCGAGAGAGGUGAGUGGAAUUCCAAGUGUAGAGGUGAAAUUCGUAGAUAUUUGGAGGAACACCAGUGGCGAAGGCGGCUCACUGGCUCGAUACUGACGCUGAGGUACGAAAGUGUGGGGAGCAAACAGGAUUAGAUACCCCUGUAGUCCAUGCCGUAAACGUUGUACACUCGCUAUUGGCGGCUUCGACCCCGUCAGUGGCUAAGCUAACGCGAUAAGUGUACCGCCUGAGGACUACGGUCGCAAGACUAAAACUCAAAGGAAUUGACGGGUCCCCGCACAAGCGGUGGAGCAUGUGGCUUAAUUCGAUGCAACGCGAAGAACCUUACCAGGCCUUGACAUGUAGUGGACCGGUGCAGAGAUGCACCUUCUCUUCGGAGCCGCUUCACAGGUGCUGCAUGGCUGUCGUCAGCUCGUGUCGUGAGAUGUUCGGUUAAGUCCGUCAACGAGCGCAACCCACAUCCUUAGUUGCCGCAGGUUAAGCUGGGCACUCUAGGGAAACUGCCCGUGAUAAGCGGGAGGAAGGUGUGGAUGACGUCAAGUCCUCAUGGCCCUUACGGGUUGGGCUACACACGUGCCACAAUGGCAGUGACAAUGGGUUAAUCCCAAAAAACUGUCUCAGUUCGGAUUGGGGUCUGCAACUCGACCCCAUGAAGUCGGAAUCGCUAGUAAUCGCGUAACAGCAUGACGCGGUGAAUACGUUCCCGGGCCUUGUACACACCGCCCGU